UACGAGGGGGGCAAGCGUUGUUCGGAAUUAUUGGGCGUAAAGAGCGCGCAGGCGGUCGUUCAAGUCGCGUGUGAAAGCCCCCGGCUCAACUGGGGAGGGUCACGCGAUACUGAUCGACUCGAAGGCAGGAGAGGGUAGUGGAAUUCCCGGUGUAGUGGUGAAAUGCGUAGAUAUCGGGAGGAACACCAGUGGCGAAGGCGACUACCUGGCCUGUUCUUGACGCUGAGGCGCGAAAGCUAGGGGAGCAAACGGG
This 253-nucleotide ribosomal RNA is filed under the name uncultured bacterium. Its description in RNAcentral is "partial 16S ribosomal RNA". It matches the Rfam family "Bacterial small subunit ribosomal RNA", at positions 524 to 776 of the family's 1533-position model. The record is from RNAcentral.